Acanthosepion pharaonis is the source of this 94-nucleotide non-coding RNA. The record is from the annotation of a GenBank genome assembly. Lineage: Eukaryota; Metazoa; Mollusca; Cephalopoda; Sepiida; Sepiidae.
ACAUCACAUUGAAACUCCGGUUCCCGUACGAACACUGAAGUUAAGCAACGUUGAGCUUGGAUGGAUGACCGCUUGGGAAUAUCAGGUGUUGUGA